RNAcentral lists this ribosomal RNA (353 nucleotides) under uncultured bacterium. RNAcentral describes it as "bacterial SSU rRNA". It matches the Rfam family "Bacterial small subunit ribosomal RNA", at positions 917 to 1269 of the family's 1533-position model. The record is from RNAcentral.
GGACCCGCACAAGCGGUGGAGCAUGUGGUUUAAUUCGAUGCAACGCGAAGAACCUUACCUGGUCUUGACAUCCUGCGAACUUUCUAGAAAUAGAUUGGUGCCUUCGGGAACGCAGUGACAGGUGCUGCAUGGCUGUCGUCAGCUCGUGUCGUGAGAUGUUGGGUUAAGUCCCGUAACGAGCGCAACCCCUAUCCUUAUUUGCCAGCACAUCAUGGUGGGAACUAUAAGGAGACUGCCGGUGAUAAACCGGAGGAAGGCGGGGACGACGUCAAGUCAUCAUGGCCCUUACGACCAGGGCUACACACGUGCUACAAUGGGAAGGACAAAGAGCAGCAAGUUCGCGAGGACAAGCA